This 495-nucleotide ribosomal RNA is filed under the name Lovellona atramentosa. Its description in RNAcentral is "partial 16S ribosomal RNA". It matches the Rfam family "Bacterial large subunit ribosomal RNA", at positions 1843 to 2598 of the family's 2925-position model. Lineage: Eukaryota; Metazoa; Mollusca; Gastropoda; Neogastropoda; Turridae. The record is from RNAcentral.
AUAUAAGGUCGGACCUGCCCAGUGAGUUUAUUUAACGGCCGCGGUACCCUGACCGUGCAAAGGUAGCAUAAUCAUUUGCCUUAUAAUUGGAGGCUAGAAUGAAUGGUUUGACGAGAAUAUUACUGUCUCUUUAUAAUUUAUUAGAAUUUUAUAUUGAAAUGAAAAAGUUUCAGUUACAUUAAAAGACAAGAAGACCCUAUCGAGCUUAAAAUAAAUUAAUAAAAUAUAGUUAAUAAAAUUAAAAAAUCAAUUGCUAAAUAUUUUGGUUGGGGCAACCAAGGAGUAUCUAAAGCCUCCUUUUACAAAAUUAUAUAAUACUAACAAGUUUCGAUCCAGUAUUUUCUGAUUAAAGAAAUUAGUUACCGUAGGGAUAACAGCAUUAUCUUUUUUAAGAGCUCUUAUCGAAAAAAAGGUUUGUGACCUCGAUGUUGGACCAGAAUGUCCCAAAGAUGCAGAAGUCUUUAAAGGUUGGUCUGUUCGACCAUUAAAAUUCUA